UACGAAGGUGGCAAGCGUUGUUCGGAUUUACUGGGCGUAAAGCGUGCGUAGGCGGUUUAACAAGUCAGGAGUGAAAGCCCAAGGCUCAACCUUGGAAUUGCUUUUGAAACUGUUUUACUUGAAUCCGGUAGAGGUUGGCGGAAUUCCCAGUGUAGAGGUGAAAUUCGCAGAUAUUGGGAGGAACACCAGUGGCGUAAGCGGCCAACUGGACCGGUAUUGACGCUGAGGCACGAAAGCAUGGGUAGCAAACAGG
Molecule: ribosomal RNA, 253 nt
Filed under: uncultured bacterium
Lineage: Bacteria
Description: partial 16S ribosomal RNA
Rfam family: Bacterial small subunit ribosomal RNA
Source: RNAcentral